This 69-nucleotide transfer RNA is filed under the name Marmota monax (woodchuck). It matches the Rfam family "tRNA". Rfam says of the family: Transfer RNA (tRNA) molecules are approximately 80 nucleotides in length. The record is from Rfam by way of RNAcentral. Lineage: Eukaryota; Metazoa; Chordata; Mammalia; Rodentia; Sciuridae.
GGAGUUGUGACUCAGGGCUAGAGUGCUCGCCUAGCAAGUGUGAGGUCCUGGGUUCAAUCCUCAGCACCG